CUCAACUUCAACUUCAAAGCCCACUGGACCAUCGACAGUGUGAAAAAACGCCAUACUGGCCAUGCCUCAAGCAAGAGGUUCCACCUGUACCGGUGAUGCUUUCGAAUAUGCUCGCCAAUAUAUGUUUGAACCCGACACAGGAAUCCGAUCGGCUACAGAGUCCGUGAAGGAAGUACUGGUUUUAACAGACGGACACUCUAACUGCGGAGCCGCCUUGCCAAAUGCCGUUAGACGACUUCAGGUGAAGGCUUUUGUCUUUGCCUUGGCUAUCGGCGACUACGGAACUUCUGGAAAAGCUGAGAUCGAGUCUAUGGUUUCCCGUCCUCUCAUCGACCAUAUUUUCUCUCUGGCCAACUUUAUCGAAUUUCGUAACAUGGUAAACGAAAUUUUACUGUACCCAGAUAAAUGUGCACCAUUUGAAUUGAAGUAAGACUUGAUAUUCAUAAAAAGUCAAUCGCCCAAAACCUGUAAAAAAAUGUAAUUGUGAAUGCUGAAUUUAUGUAUGUUUAAUACAAUUCGCUAUUGCUUGACAAAAAUUCACUUAUAAAAUGCACUUGUGAUGUUCUCAUCAUUUGCUAUGAUUAUCACGUCUAAAACUGUCUGAGCCAUGUGUAAAUAUUUGUUAUAUCGCGAAAAGUAUCGAGUUCAAAGUUAGGCCGUUUGUAAAUAUUUGUUAUGCCACGGUUACAUCCUGAGCAGUAAUACUCUAUGCUAAUUCUGAAAUUUAUAUCUCCAUUGUAUAAUAUACAGAACACACCAUCAGUGUCGUAUAGCCAAUCUCUUACAAUGUACGUAACUUCUAUUUUAAUGUUGUAAUAUUACUGUUCUCGAAGAGGUUAAAUUAUCUGAUUCCCUGAAAA
This is a long non-coding RNA of Liolophura sinensis, 860 nucleotides long. RefSeq lists it as uncharacterized. NCBI's taxonomy places the organism in Eukaryota, Metazoa, Mollusca, Polyplacophora, Chitonida, Chitonidae. The transcript is spliced from 2 exons. The record is from RefSeq and is a predicted model, not a curated record.